GACCCAAGUCCGAAUUGUCACCUGCGUUGGUGUGCGUUCCGCAAAGACGGAUAGGACUUGGGUUUUUU
This 68-nucleotide non-coding RNA is filed under the name unclassified sequences. Its description in RNAcentral is "DUF3800-IX RNA". It matches the Rfam family "DUF3800-IX RNA". Rfam says of the family: Actinobacteria, Firmicutes (1 example), Nitrospirae, Proteobacteria, Verrucomicrobia (1 example). Nearby to DUF3800 The record is from Rfam by way of RNAcentral.